This 92-nucleotide transfer RNA is filed under the name Chloroflexota bacterium. RNAcentral's name for it is "Chloroflexi bacterium tRNA-Ser". It matches the Rfam family "tRNA". Rfam says of the family: Transfer RNA (tRNA) molecules are approximately 80 nucleotides in length. The record is from RNAcentral. RNAcentral also lists the same sequence under 1 other name. Lineage: Bacteria; Bacillati; Chloroflexota.
GGAGGGUUGGCCGAGUCUGGUUGAUGGCAGCUGUCUCGAAAACAGCCAGGGCUUUUCAGCCCUCCUGGGUUCGAAUCCCAGGCCCUCCUCCA